Molecule: ribosomal RNA, 471 nt
Filed under: uncultured organism
Description: partial 16S ribosomal RNA
Rfam family: Bacterial small subunit ribosomal RNA
Source: RNAcentral
ACUCCUACGGGAGGCAGCAGUGGGGAAUUUUGGACAAUGGGCGAAAGCCUGAUCCAGCAAUGCCGCGUGUGUGAAGAAGGCCUUCGGGUUGUAAAGCACUUUUGUCCGGAAAGAAAUCCUUGGCUCUAAUACAGUCGGGGGAUGACGGUACCGGAAGAAUAAGCACCGGCUAACUACGUGCCAGCAGCCGCGGUAAUACGUAGGGUGCGAGCGUUAAUCGGAAUUACUGGGCGUAAAGCGUGCGCAGGCGGUUUGCUAAGACCGAUGUGAAAUCCCCGGGCUCAACCUGGGAACUGCAUUGGUGACUGGCAGGCUAGAGUAUGGCAGAGGGGGGUAGAAUUCCACGUGUAGCAGUGAAAUGCGUAGAGAUGUGGAGGAAUACCGAUGGCGAAGGCAGCCCCCUGGGCCAAUACUGACGCUCAUGCACGAAAGCGUGGGGAGCAAACAGGAUUAGAAACCCCAGUAGUCCCA